RNAcentral lists this long non-coding RNA (877 nucleotides) under Androctonus crassicauda. The record is from RNAcentral. Lineage: Eukaryota; Metazoa; Arthropoda; Arachnida; Scorpiones; Buthidae.
AUACAUCUUUAUGGACUAUUCACGUGAACAAAUAAUUAAUUUUUAUUGAUGUGACUUAUAUAUCAUGUCAUUCAUAUACUGAACAGAUGAUGGAAAUUGAUGUUUUGUUAAACCAUUAUUAGCAACUUGCAAUGCUAUGGUCAGUUGUUCCAAACCUGGCUCAUCUGUUGACUUGAUGUUUAACCUAGGGGUAAGUAAUGAUGAGAGUCAAAUUGCCUAGCCUAUAGAUGGGUGCGUUGGGCAUCAAUCCAUGAUCAGAAACUCCAUAAAAUAAUACUGUGUUUCCCUGAAAAUAAGAUCUAAUCAAAAAAUAAGCCCUAGCAUGAUUUUUCAGGGUACUCCUAAUAUAAGCCCUAGUUAAGAUCGCCAGCCUGAUUCAGGCCGGAAUUCGUGAUUCGGAGCCUUAUGACGAUGUUCCAGAAGAAGAUGGCAUGACUAUAUUAGUAUAAAUAAUUUUGUUCAUUUUUGAAUGUUUCUUGAAUAUGAAUAAAUGUAUUUCUUGAACCUGAAGAAAUAUAUGUUUCUUGAACAUGAAAAAAUAUUAAUUAUUGUGCAUAAAAAAUAAGACAUCCCCUGUAAAUAAGACCUAGCAUGUCUUCUACAGCUAAAAUUAAUAUAAGACCGGGUCUUAUUUUCGGGGAAACACGGUAUAUAAAACAAUUUAACACACAAACAAGCCAGGCCUGGAGCCAGCUUGAAAAACUGAAGAUGCGAGACACAGAAUCAAUCUUCAGUUUUUGCAUCUUCAGAAUUGCAUGUUUUAAAGCACCCUAUGAAUGCUUUAAAACAUGGUCAUCUGGCUGAGUUUUUUAGGCCUAGUGUUAUUGUGCACUUAAUGAAUAAUAGUGUAAAUAUGUUUUUAGAUUUUUAUGUGCAU